GUGGGGAAUAUUGGACAAUGGGCGAAAGCCUGAUCCAGCCAUGCCGCGUGUGUGAAGAAGGUCUUCGGAUUGUAAAGCACUUUAAGUUGGGAGGAAGGGCAGUAAGUUAAUACCUUGCUGUUUUGACGUUACCGACAGAAUAAGCACCGGCUAACUUCGUGCCAGCAGCCGCGGUAAUACGAAGGGUGCAAGCGUUAAUCGGAAUUACUGGGCGUAAAGCGCGCGUAGGUGGUUUUGUAAGUUGGAGGUGAAAUCCCCGGGCUCAACCUGGGAACUGCCUCCAAAACUUCAUGACUAGAGUACGGUAGAGGGUAGUGGAAUUUCCUGUGUAGCGGUGAAAUGCGUAGAUAUAGGAAGGAACACCAGUGGCGAAGGCGACUACCUGGACUGAUACUGACACUGAGGUGCGAAAGCGUGGGGAGCAAACAGGAUUAGAAACCCGGGUAGUCC
This 450-nucleotide ribosomal RNA is filed under the name uncultured bacterium. RNAcentral's name for it is "partial 16S ribosomal RNA". It matches the Rfam family "Bacterial small subunit ribosomal RNA", at positions 354 to 796 of the family's 1533-position model. The record is from RNAcentral.